UUAAAUCAGUUAUCGUUUAUUUGAUAGUACCUUACUACUUGGAUACCCGUGGUAAUUCUAGAGCUAAUACAUGCAAAAAACCCCAACUUCGGAAGGGGUGUAUUUAUUAGAUAAAAAACCAAUGCCCUUCGGGGCUCCUUGGUGAUUCAUAAUAACUUAACGGAUCGCAUGGCCUUGCGCCGGCGACGGUUCAUUCAAAUUUCUGCCCUAUCAACUUUCGAUGGUAAGGUAUUGGCUUACCAUGGUUUCAACGGGUAACGGAUUUUUAGGGAAAGAUCCCGGAGAGGGAGCCUGAGAAACGGCUACCACAUCCAAGGAAGGCAGCAGGCGCGCAAAUUACCCAAUCCCGACACGGGGAGGUAGUGACAAUAAAUACUGAUACAGGGCUCUUUUGGGUCUUGUAAUCGGAAUGAGUACAAUUUAAAUACCUUAACGAGGAACAAUUGGAGGGCAAGUCUGGUGGACCUCAGCUCCCAUUCUGCUGACGCCAGAGAUAGCCGGGCAUUCCCCAGCAAUGGGGGGUGUUAUGCCGGCUAGUCGAUGUAUCCACUACUGUGAUGGGGGGAUACCGGCAAGACAACCUGGAUCGGGGAAGGCUAAGGUGCAUUCGUGCGCUAUGCUAAUCCCGAGCAGAGCUUUCAUGGAGCGAUCCAUGAUCAUAGCCUGUGUAGAGCGCGGAAAGGUGUCGGUCGACUCACGAAGUCGGCUUAAGGGACGUGCCAUUCCCACCCGAAAGGGUGGCUGACAGCAGGAGCGCCCAUCACGCAAAUGCUGUUCAGAUUUUCGAGCGUGCCAAACGCCCGGAAAGGUUAUAUAAAUAAGGCCAGCAGCCGCGGUAAUUCCAGCUCCAAUAGCGUAUAUUAAAGUUGUUGCAGUUAAAAAGCUCGUAGUUGAACCUUGGGCCUGGCUGGCCGGUCCGCCUCACCGCGUGUACUGGUCCGGCCGGGCCUUUUCCUUCUGGAAAAACCGCAUGCCCUUCACUGGGGUGUGUUCGGGGAAACCAGGGACUUUUUACUUUUGAAAAAAUUAGAGUGUUCAAAGCAGGCCU
Molecule: ribosomal RNA, 1048 nt
Filed under: Xenoroussoella triseptata
Lineage: Eukaryota; Fungi; Ascomycota; Dothideomycetes; Pleosporales; Thyridariaceae
Description: SSU rRNA
Rfam family: Eukaryotic small subunit ribosomal RNA
Source: RNAcentral